RNAcentral lists this ribosomal RNA (440 nucleotides) under uncultured bacterium. RNAcentral describes it as "partial 16S ribosomal RNA". It matches the Rfam family "Bacterial small subunit ribosomal RNA", at positions 338 to 795 of the family's 1533-position model. The record is from RNAcentral.
CCUACGUGGGUCUGCAGUAGGGAAUAUUGCUCAAUGGGGGAAACCCUGAAGCAGCAACGCAGCGUGGAGGAUGAAGGUUUUCGGAGUGUAAACUCCUUUUGUUAGAGAAGAUAAUGACGGUAUCUAACGAAUAAGCACCGGCUAACUCCGUGCCAGCAGCCGCGGUAAUACGGAGGGUGCAAGCGUUACUCGGAGUCACUGGGCGUAAAGAGCGCGUAGGCGGGCUAGCAAGUCAGAUGUGAAAGACUAUGGCUUAACCAUUGAACUGCAUUUGAAACUGUUAUUCUAGAGUAUGUGCGAGGUAGAUGGAAUUCUUGGUGUAGCGGUAAAAUCCGUAGAGAUCAAGAGGAAUACUCAUUGCGAAGGCGACUGGCUAGAACAUAACUGACGCUGAUGCGCGAAAGCGUGGGGAGCAAACAGGAUUAGAUACCCCAGUAGUC